Molecule: ribosomal RNA, 468 nt
Filed under: uncultured bacterium
Lineage: Bacteria
Description: partial 16S ribosomal RNA
Rfam family: Bacterial small subunit ribosomal RNA
Source: RNAcentral
GACGAACGCUGGCGGCGUGCUUAACACAUGCAAGUCGAACGGAAAGGCCCUGCUUUUGUGGAGUGCUCGAGUGGCGAACGGGUGAGUAACACGUGAGUAACCUGCCCUUGACUUUGGGAUAACUUCAGGAAACUGGGGCUAAUACCGGAUAGGAGCUCCUGCUGCAUGGUGGGGGUUGGAAAGUUUCGGCGGUUGGGGAUGGACUCGCGGCUUAUCAGCUUGUUGGUGGGGUAGUGGCUUACCAAGGCUUUGACGGGUAGCCGGCCUGAGAGGGUGACCGGCCACAUUGGGACUGAGAUACGGCCCAGAAUCCUACGGGAGGCAGCAGUGGGGAAUAGUGCACAAUGGGCGGAAGCCUGAUGCAGCAACGCCGCGUGCGGGAUGACGGCCUUCGGGUUGUAAACCGCGUUCGCCUGUGACGAAGCGUGAGUGACGGUAAUGGGUAAAGAAGCACCGGAUAACUACGUG